GAUGAACGCUGGCGGCGUGCCUAAUACAUGCAAGUCGAGCGAACGGACGAGAAGCUUGCUUCUCUGAUGUUAGCGGCGGACGGGUGAGUAACACGUGGAUAACCUACCUAUAAGACUGGGAUAACUUCGGGAAACCGUAGCUAAUACCGGAUAAUAUUUUGAACCGCAUGGUUCAAAAGUGAAAGACGGUCUUGCUGUCACUUAUAGAUGGAUCCGCGCUGCAUUAGCUAGUUGGUAAGGUAACGGCUUACCAAGGCAACGAUGCAUAGCCGACCUGAGAGGGUGAUCGGCCACACUGGAACUGGAACACGGUCCAGACUCCUACGGGAGGCAGCAGUAGGGAAUCUUCCGCAAUGGGCGAAAGCCUGACGGAGCAACGCCGCGUGAGUGAUGAAGGUCUUCGGAUCGUAAAACUCUGUUAUUAGGGAAGAACAUAUGUGUAAGUAACUGUGCACAUCUUGACGGUACCUAAUCAGAAAGCCACGGCUAACUACGUG
RNAcentral lists this ribosomal RNA (497 nucleotides) under uncultured bacterium. RNAcentral's name for it is "partial 16S ribosomal RNA". It matches the Rfam family "Bacterial small subunit ribosomal RNA", at positions 28 to 507 of the family's 1533-position model. The record is from RNAcentral.